AUGGUCAGCCACACUGGGACUGAGACACUGCCCAGACUCCUACGGGAGGCUGCAGUCGAGAAUCAUUCACAAUGCGCGAAAGCGUGAUGGUGCGACGCCGCGUGGAGGAUGACGGCCUUCGGGUUGUAAACUCCUGUCAUUCGGGGACAGCGGCAGGGGGUUGAAUAUUCCCCUUGCUCGAUAGUACCGGAAGAGGAAGUCACGGCUAACUCUGUGCCAGCAGCCGCGGUAAUACAGAGGUGGCAAACGUUGUUCGGAUUUACUGGGCGUAAAGGGUGCGUAGGGGGUUCCCUAUGUCGGAUGUGAAAUCUCGGCGCUUAACGGCGAAACUGCAUUCGAAACUGGGGGACUAGAGUACCGGAGAGGAGAGCGGAAUUCUCGGUGUAGCGGUGAAAUGCGUAGAUAUCGAGAAGAACACCGGUGGCGAAGGCGGCUCUCUGGACGGAUACUGACCCUGAGGCACGAAAGCUGGGGGAGCAAACAGGAUUAGAUACCCUGGUAGUCCCAGCCCUAAACGUUGUCCACUUGGUGUGGGGGGAGUUGAUCCCCUCCGUGCUGGAGCUAACGCGUUAAGUGGACCGCCUGGGGAGUACGGCCGCAAGGCUAAAACUCAAAGAAAUUGACGGGGGCCCGCACAAGCGGAGGAGCAUGUGGCUCAAUUCGAUGCAACGCGAAGAACCUUACCAGGGCUUGACAUGCAGCUGCAAGCCCCGUGAAAGCGGGGCCGCCUUCGAGGGCGCUGCACAGGUGCUGCAUGGCUGUCGUCAGUUCGUGCCGUGAGGUGUUGGGUUAAGUCCCGCAACGAACGCAACCCCUGUGUUUAGUUGCCACUCCCCUCGUGGGAAGCACUCUAGACAGACUGCCUGUGAUAAGCAGGAGGAAGGUGGGGAUGACGUCAAGUCCGUAUGGCCUUUAUGCCCUGGGCUGCACACGUGCUACAAUGGCCGGUACAGAAGGAUGCAAUGCCGCAAGGUGGAGCAAAUCCCCAAAACCGGCCCCAGUUCGGAUUGGAGUCUGCAACUCGACUCCAUGAAGCCGGAUUCCUAGUAACGGCGCAUCAGCUACGGCGCCGUGAAUACGUUCCCGGGCCUUGUACACACCGCCCGUCACAUCAUGAAAGCCACCUGCACCCGAAGUCGCCGAUCUAACCCGUCAAGGGACGAAGGCGCCGAAGGUGUGGGUGGUGAUUGGGAUGAAGUCGUAACAAGGU
This 1210-nucleotide ribosomal RNA is filed under the name metagenome. Its description in RNAcentral is "bacterial SSU rRNA". It matches the Rfam family "Bacterial small subunit ribosomal RNA", at positions 300 to 1497 of the family's 1533-position model. The record is from RNAcentral.